Molecule: ribosomal RNA, 253 nt
Filed under: uncultured bacterium
Lineage: Bacteria
Description: partial 16S ribosomal RNA
Rfam family: Bacterial small subunit ribosomal RNA
Source: RNAcentral
UACAGAGGUCUCAAGCGUUGUUCGGAUUCAUUGGGCGUAAAGGGUGUGUAGGUGGCGCCGUAAGUCGGGUGUGAAAUUUCGGAGCUUAACUCCGAAACUGCAUUCGAUACUGCGGUGCUUGAGGACUGGAGAGGAGACUGGAAUUCCUGGUGUAGCGGUGGAAUGCGCAGAUAUCAGGAGGAACACCAAUGGCGAAGGCAGCUCGCUGGGACGGUACUGACGCUGAGGCGCGAAAGCGUGGGGAGCGAACAGG